Molecule: ribosomal RNA, 517 nt
Filed under: Citrobacter freundii
Lineage: Bacteria; Pseudomonadati; Pseudomonadota; Gammaproteobacteria; Enterobacterales; Enterobacteriaceae
Description: partial 23S ribosomal RNA
Rfam family: Bacterial large subunit ribosomal RNA
Source: RNAcentral
UCCUCCUAAAGAGUAACGGAGGAGCACGAAGGUUAGCUAAUCCUGGUCGGACAUCAGGAGGUUAGUGCAAAGGCAUAAGCUAGCUUGACUGCGAGAGUGACGGCUCGAGCAGGUGCGAAAGCAGGUCUUAGUGAUCCGGUGGUUCUGAAUGGAAGGGCCAUCGCUCAACGGAUAAAAGGUACUCCGGGGAUAACAGGCUGAUACCGCCCAAGAGUUCAUAUCGACGGCGGUGUUUGGCACCUCGAUGUCGGCUCAUCACAUCCUGGGGCUGAAGUAGGUCCCAAGGGUAUGGCUGUUCGCCAUUUAAAGUGGUACGCGAGCUGGGUUUAGAACGUCGUGAGACAGUUCGGUCCCUAUCUGCCGUGGGCGCUGGAGAAUUGAGGGGGGCUGCUCCUAGUACGAGAGGACCGGAGUGGACGCAUCACUGGUGUUCGGGUUGUCAUGCCAAUGGCAUUGCCCGGUAGCUAAAUGCGGAAGAGAUAAGUGCUGAAAGCAUCUAAGCACGAAACUUGCCCCG